Molecule: long non-coding RNA, 979 nt
Filed under: Homo sapiens (human)
Lineage: Eukaryota; Metazoa; Chordata; Mammalia; Primates; Hominidae
Description: PREDICTED lncRNA (TCONS_00151090)
Source: RNAcentral
AGGUGGUAAAUCCUGGCCAAGGCUCCUCGAGCCAGGCCGGCUGGCAGUGCUGCAUCGUGCUGAAGGCGCUGAGGUUGCAGCGGAUGCAUUCCGGGCCAGUGAUAUGAUGUGGACAGGAAAAGUCUUUUGUUCUGGGAAAAUGGAGGACUGAAACCUCUUCAUGUCUUUUUCCCAGGCCCUGAUUUAGGAAGACCAAAACAGGGACUUCUACAGUAGCAGCUUAAUCAGCAGAUGCUGGGUGGUCGCCUCUGCACAUGGCCUGGGGGGCGGGGCGCCUUACCGCGUCACACUGGGUGGAUGGGCCUGUGUGUGGCCUCUCUCCAGCUGUGGCUGACAGUACUCACUCAGCCCAGGCUUCCAGGCCCUCCUGGGCCCUCCUAUCCACUGAAGGAAAUGGGAGAUGAGUGGGUAAUGGAAAAGCCUUUGGAGUCAGAUGUAAAUCCAUGACUUGACCACUUAUUGCUGUGAGACCCUGGACAGCUGGAUAUAGAGUUCUUGUUCUAGCAUCCGCCCUGGGAAUCCCCGGAACUGGGCCUCUUACCGACACCAUUGCCUGUAAUCCACAAACCUAGGAGCACAUGGUUAAAGCAUGAGAUGUGAAACCAGGAAGAACCAGGUCUGAACCUUAGCUCCACCAGUGGUAGCUUCAAACCUUGGUCCUUUCUGAGCCUGCUUCUUCAACCGUAAGGAACUCGGAAACGGGACCCAGAAAGUUGUUUUCUCAAGUGGAUGGAACAACACAAGCAAUCAUUCUCUGCAUCUUAAUUCCCUCAUCUGUAAAAUGGAAAUAAUACACCUACCUUCUCAGUUUACUGUGAGGAAAAAACGAAUCAAUACAUAUAUAAAGCACCUGGCACAGUGCGUGGCAUAGGAGGUUUCCUUGGGAAUUCCUUCAGAAGUUAAAUAGCUUACCCAAGGUGUCACAACUACGUAAGGUGGCCCAGCUCAAGAUUCAAAUGCAAGUUCAUAUGAUUCUGAA